AUUGAACGCUGGCGGCAUGCUUUACACAUGCAAGUCGAACGGCAGCGCGGGGCAACCUGGCGGCGAGUGGCGAACGGGCGAGUAAUACAUCGGAACGUACCCAGAAGUGGGGGAUAACGUAGCGCAAGUUACGCUAAUACCGCAUACGUUCUACGGAAGAAAGUGGGGGACCUGCGGGCCUCAUGCUUUUGGAGCGGCCGAUGUCUGAUUAGCUAGUUGGUGAGGUAAAGGCUCACCAAGGCGACGAUCAGUAGCUGGUCUGAGAGGACGACCAGCCACACUGGGACUGAGACACGGCCCAGACUCCUACGGGAGGCAGCAGUGGGGAAUUUUGGACAAUGGGCGCAAGCCUGAUCCAGCAAUGCCGCGUGAGUGAAGAAGGCCUUCGGGUUUUAAAGCUCUUUUGUCAGGGAAGAAACGGCUGAGGAUAAUACCUUCGGCUAAUGACGGUACCUGAAGAAUAAGCACCGGCUAACUACGUG
This 482-nucleotide ribosomal RNA is filed under the name uncultured bacterium. RNAcentral's name for it is "partial 16S ribosomal RNA". It matches the Rfam family "Bacterial small subunit ribosomal RNA", at positions 30 to 507 of the family's 1533-position model. The record is from RNAcentral.